UACAUGGGGUGCAAACGUUGCUCGGAAUUACUGGGCGUAAAGCGUGCGUAGGUGGUUCGUUAAGUCUGUCGUGAAAGCCCCGGGCUCAACCUGGGAAUGGCGAUGGAUACUGGCGGGCUAGAGUGCGGUAGAGGAGAGUGGAAUUCCCGGUGUAGCAGUGAAAUGCGUAGAGAUCGGGAGGAACAUCAGUUGCGAAGGCGGCUCUCUGGACCAGCACUGACACUGAGGCACGAAAGCGUGGGGAGCAAACAGG
Molecule: ribosomal RNA, 253 nt
Filed under: uncultured bacterium
Lineage: Bacteria
Description: partial 16S ribosomal RNA
Rfam family: Bacterial small subunit ribosomal RNA
Source: RNAcentral